GUGGGGAAUAUUGCACAAUGGGGGAAACCCUGAUGCAGCGACGCCGCGUGAGUGAAGAAGGUCUUCGGAUCGUAAAACUCUGUCCUUGGUGACGAAGGAAGUGACGGUAACCAAGGAGGAAGCCCCGGCUAACUACGUGCCAGCAGCCGCGGUAAUACGUAGGGGGCGAGCGUUGUCCGGAUUUACUGGGCGUAAAGGGUGAGUAGGCGGUCAUAUAAGUCAGGUGUAAAAAGCUAAGGCUUAACCAUAGUAAGCACUUGAAACUGUAUGACUUGAGUGCAGGAGAGGUAAGCGGAAUUCCUAGUGUAGCGGUGAAAUGCGUAGAUAUUAGGAGGAACACCGGUGGCGAAGGCGGCUUACUGGACUGUAACUGACGCUGAGUCACGAAAGCGUGGGUAGCAAACAGGAUUAGAAACCCUAGUAGUCC
RNAcentral lists this ribosomal RNA (427 nucleotides) under uncultured bacterium. RNAcentral describes it as "bacterial SSU rRNA". It matches the Rfam family "Bacterial small subunit ribosomal RNA", at positions 354 to 796 of the family's 1533-position model. The record is from RNAcentral.